CCCGGCGUCGGCCCUUAACGCCUGCCGUGGAGAAGGCGGCGCAUGGGCAGUCGCGUCCCGCCGUUCCCAUAGCGACGCGUCCUCCGCCCCGUGGGACCUGCUGCUUCGGCCAACAUCUUCGAGCUUCGGCAAGCUCCGGAGGCCGGGGCAACUGGCGGCAGGUAGGAAACUAUGUGAAAGAAUCUUCUGAUGUAAUAAUUUCUGGGUGUCACUGGAACAUUUGAUGAUCAUUCCGUUGGCAACUCCAGCCUUCUAUGGAAGGUCAGUAGAAGCAGUUGAUUUAUUCACCUCUACAGGAAUCAGACUCAGCCUAUUUUGGUUUUCGGUGAAUUAUGCCUUUUCGGUUUGGGACCCAGCCAAGGAGGUUUCCAGUGGAAGGAGGAGAUUCUUCAAUUGGGCUAGAAUCUGGGCUGAGCUCCAGUGCUGCCUGUAAUGGGAAAGAGAUGUCACCAACCAGGCAACUCCGAAGAUGCCCUGGAAGUCAUUGCCUGACAAUAACUGAUGUUCCUAUUACUGUCUAUGCAACAAUGCGAAAGCCACCUGCACAAAGCAGCAAGGAAAUGCAUCCUAAAUAGCAUCAUUAAGUCUUUUGUAGAGGUUUGACUAGGUCAAGGGUAAUGGGCCAGUAUCAUCUUAUGAUCUGGUAAAACAAAUAAAAGUGGUGGCACCUUUGGAUGAUGACAGCAGUUGAAAUAUUUUAUUUUUAGUAGGAGAAGACACAGUGUCAUCUGGAACACGUGUAGUGAUAAGCCAUCAGUUAUGUUUGAUAGAUAAGACGGAAUGAUAUUUCACAAUUAGAAUGCACUCUAGUGAUCAUCUUGCUCACAGUGGAUCAUUAAUAUCAAUAACUGAAGAUGAAGGUUAAUCUACCUUGAUUAUCAGUCAUGAAGGCCCUGUUCUAAAUACUUAGUGUAUCCUAGGCUGGUGUCCUUUGUUUGUAUUUGGGUUGCCACUUAGCUGAAUCCUCUCACUUGAAUACCCUAAGCCAGUUCCUGGCUUGAUAUCUUUUGAUAACGCUCUGCGGUAAUUAUAUUGGUUAAGAAAAGGAGCCCAGUAGAUUGUGCAUUUGGGGAAGAAUACCCAAUGCCAAAGAAAGUUCUUAGUCUGUGGUUAAUCUGAAAAGCAUUAAACUGAAAAGAAAAAAGAAAAAAAAGCAUCAACUGUUUGCAUAUGGGAUCUCAGGUUUUUUGUUAAAUUUAUUAUAAUGAGGUCAAGGCUGUGUUUCUAGCCCCUAUUUUUCCAUGAAGAAUGAUGUCCCAUCAUUAUACCAUAGGUCCCAGAGCCACUCAUCUUGAAAUUGUCUACAAUUGAUACUGAGAGACCUCGGGUGGAAUUUUUUUUUUUUUUUUUUUUUGAUUAGACCUAAGGAUACAUUUUGAGGUCUAGGCCAGCUCUCUAUGGUUUUUUUUUUUUUUUUUUCCUUUCUUUUUGCAAUAGUCUCAACAAACUCAGCUGGCUUUUGUUUCCUCUUGAAGGUUGCCACCAUCCAACCCACGAAAUUGCCUUCUCCAAAAGACUGAGUUUAGGGUCAGAUAGAAGCUGAGAGAAGAUGGAGUACCAUCUAAAAGCUGGAUCAGACUCUUAAGAAUGGCAAAUUCAAAGUUUCAGGUCACCGUGUGGUGGUUGGCCUUUGGGUACGUG
Canis lupus familiaris (dog) is the source of this 1641-nucleotide RNA transcript. It is a transcript of the gene named family with sequence similarity 229 member B, with no coding region annotated. The record is from RefSeq and is a predicted model, not a curated record. The transcript is spliced from 6 exons. NCBI's taxonomy places the organism in Eukaryota, Metazoa, Chordata, Mammalia, Carnivora, Canidae.